This 465-nucleotide ribosomal RNA is filed under the name Vreelandella stevensii. Its description in RNAcentral is "partial 16S ribosomal RNA". It matches the Rfam family "Bacterial small subunit ribosomal RNA", at positions 338 to 795 of the family's 1533-position model. The record is from RNAcentral. Lineage: Bacteria; Pseudomonadati; Pseudomonadota; Gammaproteobacteria; Oceanospirillales; Halomonadaceae.
CCUACGGGGGGCAGCAGUGGGGAAUAUUGGACAAUGGGCGAAAGCCUGAUCCAGCCAUGCCGCGUGUGUGAAGAAGGCCUUCGGGUUGUAAAGCACUUUCAGUGGGGAAGAAAGCCUUGGGGCUAAUACCCUCGAGGAAGGACAUCACCCACAGAAGAAGCACCGGCUAACUCCGUGCCAGCAGCCGCGGUAAUACGGAGGGUGCGAGCGUUAAUCGGAAUUACUGGGCGUAAAGCGCGCGUAGGCGGUCUGAUAAGCCGGUUGUGAAAGCCCCGGGCUCAACCUGGGAACGGCAUCCGGAACUGUCAUGCUAGAGUGCAGGAGAGGAAGGUAGAAUUCCCGGUGUAGCGGUGAAAUGCGUAGAGAUCGGGAGGAAUACCAGUGGCGAAGGCGGCCUUCUGGACGGACACUGACGCUGAGGUGCGAAAGCGUGGGUAGCAAACAGGAUUAGAUACCCCAGUAGUC